AGUGAGCUAAGGCUUUAUAGAGAGUAUUCCCCCUGUGAUUAAUCCUUUGAUCACAGAAUCAUCUUCAAGAUCUCUCUGUUUAACUGUGAAAUAGUACAAUUAAAAUUUGACAUUUUACUGACACAUCUUCUCCAGAAUGUGUGGCAAGAACUGGAAUGAUUUUGCUCUGUGGAGAGAUAACAUCCCAAGCUAUAGUAGAUCAUUAACAAAUUGUAAGAGAGACCCUUAAGAGGAUAGGAUAUGAUGACUCUUCCAAAGGAAUGGACUAUAAGAUUUGCACAGUUUCAGUGGCCCUAGAACAACAAUGUAAAGAAAUCAAGCAAGCUCUCUCCCACGGCAAGACUGACAAUGAUGUUGAAGCAGGGGAUCAGGGUUUGAUACUUGGCUAUGCCACUGAUGAAACUGAGGUAUCUAUGCCCUUAACAGUCCUCCUGGCACACAAACUGACUGCAAGCAUAAGGGCCCUGGAAUGGGAUGGAACAUGGCCCUGGGUCAGACCAGAUGGGAAAUCACAGGUUUGUAAGAGAUGUAUCAACUGUAAAGGUCACAAUGUAAUACAAGGAACGUAAUGGUGCACUGGAGCCGAUCUGAGUGCACACACUUGUGGUUUCAGUAAAUCAUGCACUGGACACACCACUACAACAAAUACAGAAUUAGCUGAUGGAGAAAGUUGUUUAAAAAGCCAUUCCAGAGAAGUUCCUUGAUGAGGGUACAAUUUAUGAUCUCCUUCCAAGUG
Hirundo rustica (Barn swallow) is the source of this 736-nucleotide long non-coding RNA. RefSeq lists it as uncharacterized. The record is from RefSeq and is a predicted model, not a curated record. The transcript has 4 exons. NCBI's taxonomy places the organism in Eukaryota, Metazoa, Chordata, Aves, Passeriformes, Hirundinidae.